CUGUCUCUCUCUCUCUCCGUUGUCAGGACUGUCUCUCUCUCUCUCUCCUUUGUCAGGUCUCUCUCUCUCUCCUUUGUCAGGUCUCUCUCUCUCUCUCCUUUGUCAGGACUCUCUCUCUCUCUCUCUCCUUUGUCAGGACUCUCUCUCUCUCUCUCUCUCUCUGUUGUCAGGACUGUCUCUCUCUCUCUCUCCUUUGUCAGGACUCUCUCUCUCUCUCUCUCUGUUGUCAGGACUGUCUCUCUCUCUCUCUCUCUCUCCGUUGUCAGGACUGUCUCUCUCUCUCUCCGUUGUCAGGACUGUCUCUCUCUCUCUCCGUUGUCAGGACUCUCUCUCUCUCUCCGUUGUCAGGACUGUCUCUCUCUCUCUCCGUUGUCAGGACUGUCUCUCUCUCUCUCUCCUUUGUCAGGUCUCUCUCUCUCUCCUUUGUCAGGUCUCUCUCUCUCUC
Oncorhynchus tshawytscha (Chinook salmon) is the source of this 445-nucleotide long non-coding RNA. The record is from Ensembl. Lineage: Eukaryota; Metazoa; Chordata; Actinopteri; Salmoniformes; Salmonidae.